GACGAACGCUGGCUGCGUGCUUAACACAUGCAAGUCGAACGCUGAAGCCCCAGCUUGCUGGGGUGGAUGAGUGGCGAACGGGUGAGUAACACGUGAGUAACCUGCCCCUGACUUCGGGAUAAGCCCGGGAAACUGGGUCUAAUACCGGAUACGACUAUCGGACGCAUGUCUGGUGGUGGAAAGUUUUCUCGGUUGGGGAUGGGCUCGCGGCCUAUCAGUUUGUUGGUGAGGUAAUGGCUCACCAAGACGACGACGGGUAGCCGGCCUGAGAGGGCGACCGGGCACACUGGGAACGAGACAAGGGCCAGACUCCUACGGGAGGCAGGAGGGGGGAAUAUUGCACAAUGGGGGAAACCCUGAUGCAGCGACGCAGCGUGCGGGAUGACGGCCUUCGGGUUGUAAACCGCUUUCAGCAGGGAAGAAGCCUUCGGGUGACGGUACCUGCAGAAGAAGUACCGGCUAACUACGUG
Molecule: ribosomal RNA, 470 nt
Filed under: uncultured bacterium
Lineage: Bacteria
Description: partial 16S ribosomal RNA
Rfam family: Bacterial small subunit ribosomal RNA
Source: RNAcentral